UUUCAUUCGUCUCACCAACAGCUGAUGUCUUUUGGUUUGUAUUUUUUUCAAAAUUCGUCCGUGUUUUAAUUUUCUCGAUUUUGUGCCGUCUUUUUGUCAAAUUGUUGACUUAUUAUUUGGUCGCUAGCUACGUAAGGAACUAACCGCAGACAAUAUCCCAACGAUGAAGCCUUUUAUACUGAUAAGGGAGUACCGGAAAACUGACGACAUCGCCAUACAGGAUUUGAUUAAGCAAUACAUAAUGAGUUAUGCGUUGUCGUGUUUCAUUCAAGUGCUGUUCAGAGAGAUUACGCUCCAGUUGGUUGUCCUCAUGUGGGCCAUUCUCUUCAUUUUUGUCGGAAUUCCGCUCCAUUUGUGCUUUCUUAGUAUUCCUGUAGUCAUAUUUUUGAUAGUUUUUUGCGUCUAUGCCGUGCAUUUCAACAAAGGGAUCGAACAGGCGAACGCCAAUCCCAAAUGCUGUUUCGUGGCAGAAGUGUACGAAGAGCCACUUGCAAUGCUGAACAAUAAUACGGAAAAAGUUGAAUAUAAUCUUUUGUUUAACGAAACGAAUGGAUAUGACGUUACCAAGUUACGGAAGAAGAUCAUUGGCACCAUCAGCGUGCGCAACCACGAGUCCCGCGACAAGUGCGGAUGGAUUUAUCGUUUCGCCAUGGACCGCAAAUACCCGUACGACAAAGUCGUCGAAGGUCUGACACGUCGCGCGAUCCAACAUUGCCCGUCACAGGGCUGGUAUCGCUUGGAAACUGUUGCCACGGAGUGCCAGGACGAAGUUCGCGAGUCUUACGCCAAACUUGGCUUCAACAUUUACCAAGUUUACCAUCGGCAAAUUGUCGGCAGCAGUUUAAGUGUCAUGAAAACCCAUUUGGGACUCGAUGUCGCGAAAUUUGUGCACCUGAAUUCGGGCCAUUCUUGAAAUCAGGCCGAAACACACAAAAGCAACGUUGUGGGCCAUUACAAGAAAAAUAUUAUUUUAGAUUACGUGCAUUACGGUGCUCGCAGUGAGAAAUUGCAAAAUAUUUGUUAACGCGAGACACGAAAAAAAAAACAAAACAAAAAAAAAAAACAAUACGAAACAUAUGAAAAUUAAUAAUAAUUGUUAGCGAAGUGAUGUUUGUUAGGAAACGAAUUAGCCUUAGAUGUUGAUGUUGAUACAAGCGUUUAUAGAUGUCUAAUUUUUUUAUAGAAUUAAGAAAGAUAUCAUUCCACGUUAGUUACGAGCUCAAUAUUUAUCAAAAAAAAAAAAAUAAUAAUUACAAAACUAAUUAAUGGACCAUCCUCUAUACUUGUUACCACCAUCCGUAAUUUUAAUUUUUAAACAAUAAUUUUUUAUAUCACUAAAGAAUCAAACACACUCACGCACACACUUGACAUACACACACGAGUUCCCGUUUGUGAAAGCAAAAAAAUUAAAUAAAAAUAAAUUAUCGCGUUAAUUUAUUAAAAUUUGCAGGAAAAAAAAUUAAAUAAAUAAAGAUAUGCAAUGAAUUUUACGUAAAUUCAGAGACGUAGCGUAAAAGGGCGAAAUAAGGGCAAAAUUUUGAUUUUUUUUAGA
RNA transcript from Culicoides brevitarsis, 1552 nucleotides. RefSeq lists it as uncharacterized. The transcript has 6 exons. The record is from RefSeq and is a predicted model, not a curated record. Lineage: Eukaryota; Metazoa; Arthropoda; Insecta; Diptera; Ceratopogonidae.